GACGAACGCUGGCGGCGUGCUUAACACAUGCAAGUCGAACGGAAAGGCCCUGCUUUUGUGGGGUGCUCGAGUGGCGAACGGGUGAGUAACACGUGAGUAACCUGCCCUUGACUUUGGGAUAACUUCAGGAAACUGGGGCUAAUACCGGAUAGGAGCUCCUGCUGCAUGGUGGGGGUUGGAAAGUUUCGGCGGUUGGGGAUGGACUCGCGGCUUAUCAGCUUGUUGGUGGGGUAGUGGCUUAUCAAGGCUUUGACGGGUAGCCGGCCUGAGAGGGUGACCGGCCACAUUGGGACUGAGAGACGGCCCAGACUCCUACGGGAGGCAGCAGCGGGGAAUAUUGCACAAUGGGCGGAAGCGUGAUGCAGCAACGCCGCGGGCGGGAUGACGGCCUUCGGGUUGUAAACCGCUUUCGCCUGUGACGAAGCGUGAGUGACGGUAAUGGGUAAAGAAGCACCGGCUAACUACGUG
Molecule: ribosomal RNA, 468 nt
Filed under: uncultured bacterium
Lineage: Bacteria
Description: partial 16S ribosomal RNA
Rfam family: Bacterial small subunit ribosomal RNA
Source: RNAcentral